This 1193-nucleotide long non-coding RNA is filed under the name Cottoperca gobio. RNAcentral's name for it is "lncRNA (ENSCGOG00000006557.1)". Lineage: Eukaryota; Metazoa; Chordata; Actinopteri; Perciformes; Bovichtidae. The record is from RNAcentral.
UUGAUCAUAAGGGAUUUAUGACUUUGAGAUGUGCUGCAAAUGCUUUCUACAAAUGUUUUCAGAGUGUACAGCUGGGCUCCAACAGAGGACAGGAACCUUCACAAAAAUGUGAAACCUCGAGACGGUGACACUUCCAUAAACAGAGGUCCCUGUGAAUAAUCUGCUUUACUAUGCUGACCAUAUAGGGUGUCGACUCUGCAGGGCAGCGGAGCGUGGCUGUGUCUGUGGAGCAGGGACAGCACUGUUUACACCAGAGCACUCAGGAUAUUAUUGAUCUUCAGAGGAACUCAAGAGCAAGUCAAGCCCAGCUGUCAGACUUUAAAACUCAUUUGUAAUGAGGAGCUCUUCGCUUAUAAACACUCACAAUCUUUGCACCAAAUGGCAGCAGGCUGGAUUAAAAACAAUGAAUUGAAAAGGUGGAGGGUUUGCAAUAGCAGACUGAGGAGAGAAGAAGAGUCAAAGCCUGACCUUACUAUGACUGGGCUACAUGGAAGAGUCUGUUAUUAAGAUUGAGAGAGAACUCCUCGGGGAGUCUUUACGGUAACGUGUCUGUGGAAUUUAGCUCAGAUCAGCCAACAUUCAGGGCCCCUUUAAGGGAUACCUUUGACGAUUGUACUCCAAUAUUUUUUCUUUGCCUGGCACGUGACCGAUAUUAGAAAAAAGAAAUCCACAUUUGUCCUUGAGCUACCCUAAAACAGACGUCAGCUUUGCCCUUUGAGGCUGACUGGUGCCUCUUGUGCAAGCUACUACCAACUGCACUAAUGCCAAAUAUGAGCAGUACAGGACAUUGUUUUUGUGAAACAACAAAACAAAACAGAGACAUUAUUCCUCAGAAAUGACUUUGCUCUUUUAUCACAGAUACUAUCCUUCAAACAAAGUCCCUGUUUUAGUAAGUAAGUCUCACGUCUGGCUAUAAGUCGUCAUGUUCUGUUUACAAAAUGUAAAGCCGUUUUAAAUGUUUGAAUAGGGUAACAGUUAUAUUGUAAAUGUACAGAAAUAAUGAUUACAAUUAUUUGUCAUUUCUGAGCCGAAUGUUUUGAAUGUUACUGUCCAUUCUAUUUCUCUUCACAUCUGAAUGUGAGACUUGGACAUCAUCUGUGGGGCCUCUGCUGCUUUCUGCUGCUCAUGCAUUGGCUGCUGUUGGAAUGAUUCCAUCUUUUUUUCUUUUUAUUCUAGUUUUUGAAUUAUUGGGA